UACAUAGGUGGCAAGCGUUGUCCGGAAUUACUGGGUGUAAAGGGAGCGCAGGCGGGAAGCCAAGUCAGCUGUGAAAACUACGGGCUUAACUUGUAGACUGCAGUUGAAACUGGUUUUCUUGAGUGAAGUAGAGGUUGGCGGAAUUCCGAGUGUAGCGGUGAAAUGCGUAGAUAUUCGGAGGAACACCGGUGGCGAAGGCGGCCAACUGGGCUUUAACUGACGCUGAGGCUCGAAAGUGUGGGGAGCAAACAGG
Molecule: ribosomal RNA, 253 nt
Filed under: uncultured bacterium
Lineage: Bacteria
Description: partial 16S ribosomal RNA
Rfam family: Bacterial small subunit ribosomal RNA
Source: RNAcentral